GAUGAACGCUAGCGGCAGGCCUAACACAUGCAAGUCGAGGGGUAACUAGAGUGAUAGCAAUAUUACUUUGGCUAGACCGGCGCACGGGUGCGUAACACGUAUGCAACCUACCUUAUACUGGGGAAUAACUUCGAGAAAUCGGCGCUAAUACCCCAUAACAUUGCGAAGAGGCAUCUCUUUGCAAUUAAAGCUCCGGCGGUAUAAGAUGGGCAUGCGUCCAAUUAGCUAGUUGGUGAGGUAACGGCUCACCAAGGCUACGAUUGGUAGGGGUUCUGAGAGGAUGAUCCCCCACACUGGUACUGAGACACGGACCAGACUCCUACGGGGGGCAGCAGUGAGGAAUAUUGCGCAAUGGACGAAAGUCUGACGCAGCCAUGCCGCGUGCAGGAUGACGGCCCUAUGGGUUGUAAACUGCUUUUGUACGGGAAUAAACCCUUCUACGUGUAGGAGGCUGAAGGUACCGUAAGAAUAAGCACCGGCUAACUCUGUGCCAGCCGCCGCGGUAA
This 506-nucleotide ribosomal RNA is filed under the name uncultured bacterium. RNAcentral describes it as "partial 16S ribosomal RNA". It matches the Rfam family "Bacterial small subunit ribosomal RNA", at positions 28 to 523 of the family's 1533-position model. The record is from RNAcentral.